GGGGUUAUAGCUCAGCUGGUUAGAGCGCUACGUUGACAUCGUAGAGGUCAUAGGUUCGAUUCCUAUUAAUCCCACCA
RNAcentral lists this transfer RNA (77 nucleotides) under Clostridia bacterium. Its description in RNAcentral is "tRNA-Val". It matches the Rfam family "tRNA". From Rfam's summary of the family: Transfer RNA (tRNA) molecules are approximately 80 nucleotides in length. Their secondary structure includes four short double-helical elements and three loops (D, anti-codon, and T loops). The record is from RNAcentral. Lineage: Bacteria; Bacillati; Bacillota; Clostridia.